Molecule: transfer RNA, 89 nt
Filed under: Syntrophus sp. SKADARSKE-3
Lineage: Bacteria; Pseudomonadati; Thermodesulfobacteriota; Syntrophia; Syntrophales; Syntrophaceae
Description: tRNA-Ser
Rfam family: tRNA
About the family: Transfer RNA (tRNA) molecules are approximately 80 nucleotides in length. Their secondary structure includes four short double-helical elements and three loops (D, anti-codon, and T loops).
Source: RNAcentral
GGAGUGGUGGCCGAGAGGCCGAUGGCGGCGGUCUUGAAAACCGUUGGUCCGAAUAGGGCCCGGAGGUUCGAAUCCUCCCCGCUCCGCCA